CUCACGUUAAAAGAAUAUAUGCCGUUCUCUUUUCUUUAGCGUAAAACGAGUAAUUACUUCAGCGCUAUAUAGUUUCAGCCGUUCCCCUUCUUUAGCUUAAAAGUGAAAAUUCAGUAAAAAAUCAGAGCGCUAAAAGUGAGAAUUUUUCCCUCCCAAACUCAUCAAAACCUUCACCGUUUGAUUUUUCAGAAGCUAAACCAUAGACCGUCCAGUGUAUCUUCUCCCUAACCCCAACCAUAUCCCUUUCUUCCCUUCACCUUCUUCUCAAACCCUUCAACUUGCAACUCAGAAUUAGAAUUUUAGGGUUUCAUGGAAUCAUCUCAAUCAAACCUUUGAAGUAAGUCUUUGACGACAAUAUUGAUUCCCCUUAGAGCUGCAAGGGUCAUAACACGCUGUGAACGAAAACUCAAAUAUAGAGGAUUUUUCAUUUUCAAGUUGUGUAUGAUUCGUCUUUUUGUCGCCCCAGAAUCUGCAGAUUCCUCCAAAAUAAUUACUACUGUUGAUGUCCAUCAGUUUUUCGACGACAUUAAGAAUAAGCGUCGCCGUAUAAAGAUAUAAGACAUCAAAUGAAACUACUUGGCAUAGAAAGAAUUUUAUAAUUUUGCCUCUGUUUCAAAGGUGGAUGUUGUUAUAAGUUUGUUGUCUCCUAGUUGUCAUAUUAUCGUAGCAAGUACUUGCAUUGAGGGAAAUCACAAAACUAAAAAAAGGCAUGCAGCUGAGGUCUGACUAAUAAUCAAAUCAUGAAUGAUGAAGAGACGUAGAUGUGAAAAUGUAGAUGUUUAAGUAUACUUUUAAAGAUUCAAGAUGUUAGUUUAAUUAUGAACGAUGAUUGAUAAGAUGAUAUGUAUAUUAAAGAUGUUUUGUUGAUUGUAAAUCAUGAUUGACAUUGAGAUAUGUAAA
Long non-coding RNA from Vicia villosa (hairy vetch), 900 nucleotides. RefSeq lists it as uncharacterized. The record is from RefSeq and is a predicted model, not a curated record. The transcript is spliced from 6 exons. NCBI's taxonomy places the organism in Eukaryota, Viridiplantae, Streptophyta, Magnoliopsida, Fabales, Fabaceae.